GUCCGUCCACCAUCUCCUAGGAUAUCUAGUCAGGCUGACCACAUUAUACAAUUCCCAUUUACAUAAUCUUUCAUUCUCCUUUUCCCUCAGUCAGCAUUAUCAAUCACAUACAAACAAGCAAAACGAUAAUUUAUGCCAACAGACAACAUACAGCAUCAAUAUCCCGGUCAUUCAAUCCAUAAUCAAUAAAAUAGUAAAAUAUGCACACGAAACUAUAAAAUGAAAACAUCGAACCUCAUGCUGCAUUUAAAACUGUAAAACAUGCCAAAUAACAGUUAACCGACAAACACACUAAACUCGGGCUCCAUUAGCGACCUUAAGCAAUUUCACACAUUCGUUGAUUCAUGAAAUACCGUUUUAUCAUUUAUUGAACUUUAAAACCGUGAAAGGAAAUAGGGUGAGGGGUCCUUACUCGUUUCGGGGUACGAACACAGUUUCACAGUGCGCUUGCAGGCUGUCCCUAAUUUUCCCUGAAUUUUUUCCGGGAAACUGAAACGCACUACAGGUACCUGCACGUGUUCUAAAAAAUCCCAAAUUAGGCCUAGGGCCCCUUUCGGCCAAUAUCGCAACUCUGGCAUGGCGGCUCCGCCGUUUGCGGCGGCGGUUCACCUCGGGUUGGCCGUUUUCGGUCGUUUCCGGCCGAAUUUGGCCACAUUCGCAUUGGUUCCUGCGAUAAAACAACCCUACGGCCCUCGGGGGGCCAAAAAUUUACGGAAAACCGAAGCUUACCGGCGGCGGUGCUCUCGGGUGCGGCGGCUCUCCGGCGAAGUUCGUGUUUUGGUGAUUCGGCUCCGAUCAACCUGUAGAGAAAAGAAUGGUGAUCACGGUGGUAUAAAAAUUGCAUUAAACGGAGGCCGGGAAGGGCCUCAUCGGAGGUAAAAACCGAGGAGGGGCGCGGCGGCGCCGCUGGCUUUUGGCCGUGUUUUUCGGCCGUUUGGCCGGGAUUUUAGCUCCGAUUUGGCCACUGGGGAAAUCAGCGUGGAAAAACGAGUCGGGGGUAUGAAAUUUACCUCGAUCGGCGGUCGAAAAUCCCUCCGGUGCGGCGGCGGGUGGCGGCGGCCGGCUUCUGGUUCGUCUUCUCCGGCGAGGGCAGGCGGCUAGGGUUUGGGGUCUGGUGUGGGGGUCUUAUUUAUACCUU
RNAcentral lists this long non-coding RNA (1138 nucleotides) under Carica papaya (papaya). Its description in RNAcentral is "long non-coding RNA (CPAP_LNC009223)". The record is from RNAcentral. Lineage: Eukaryota; Viridiplantae; Streptophyta; Magnoliopsida; Brassicales; Caricaceae.